CAGGCAGCCACCUGGCUUGAGACUGGCCUGGCUUUGCCGGUUCCUUUGGCAGCUUCCAAGACCCGAGGGUAGGAGUCCUAGGCAGCUGGGACCUGCCAGGCCAUCCUGAAGCCCCCAGCUCACUACCAAGGGAGCCCAGUUCCUAUCUGAGAGGACCACCUCUGCCUGAAGCUGGAAUCUGAUGCUUGUUGGGCCAACAACUGAAACCAGGCGGUGGUAGCUUCACACUGCUGUUCUGUUCCCUGAAGUAGGAUGUGACUGUGACACUUGUCUCAGCCAGUGGGAUGUGAGGAAAAGCAAGCUGUGCCAGCCCCAGUACGAAGCUUUGAGACUAAGAGCUUCUUUAUGGAAACAAGGGUGAGUAUAGAGUCACCGUGGUGAGGAGCGCCCCCUGCUGAACAAGGAGGGACAUGCACUGUAAGAGAGCUAGAAACCAGCUAAGCAGAGCCAGGCUUGGGCGUUUCGUCUCAUCAGUUGGGACAGGCUUCCUAAAAACAUCACACGUUUCCCCAAGACCAGCAUUGGUUCUGUCAUCAUCUCUAAUGUUACCUACAUACAAAUUUUCUUGCACCAAGUCACUUCUUUUUACUUGGAUUUGUUUUAUAACCUUUUAUUAAUUUCUUUUUUAACUUUUUGAGGUAGGGCCUCACAUAGCCCAAGCUGGCCUAGAACUCGCUGAGUAGCUGAGAGUGACUGUGAACUUCUGCUCCCACUGGUUCCACCUCCCUCGUGCCGGCAUCACAGGACUGUGACCCUAAGGCCGGUUUUUAUACAGUGUGGAGAUGGGGUGCUCACACAUGCUAGGCAAACACCCUACUGUUGGGCUACAUCUCCAGCUCCUAGAUUUAUUUUCAAAGGAAAUGUUAUUCCCAUCAAGUGAAAAUCAUCCCCUAAGUAGAAAGCAAUGGAAAAUAAUCAGAAUGAAAUAAACCAUUUUGUUACA
This is a long non-coding RNA of Peromyscus maniculatus bairdii (prairie deer mouse), 943 nucleotides long. RefSeq lists it as uncharacterized. The record is from RefSeq and is a predicted model, not a curated record. Lineage: Eukaryota; Metazoa; Chordata; Mammalia; Rodentia; Cricetidae.